This 661-nucleotide long non-coding RNA is filed under the name Olea europaea subsp. europaea. The record is from RNAcentral. Lineage: Eukaryota; Viridiplantae; Streptophyta; Magnoliopsida; Lamiales; Oleaceae.
CUGAAAUUUAAGGUGAACUCGUUAUACAAAUCUAGUUCUACAGCAUAAAAUAAAACAGACGCUUAAUUGGGUAAAGAGAUGCCAAAUUGAAAGGUGCCAUGGAAAUUCCGGUCUUCAAAGCAUCAUAUGCUGGGCCAAAAGCAAUUCCCCAGCGCAAUCAAGAAAAGUAAUUUUGAGAAAGCAGGUCAACUUCCAAGCACAAUACCCAUCAGGCUUGAAGAUAUCAAAAUCCACAUGACAGCAAUAGACAAUUAAAACAUAUUAGCACAAAAUAAAAUGUGGGAUAAAGAAAAAGAAAAGGUCCAUAGAUGAACAAAUACACAAUACUAGUUACAUCGAACACAGGCAAAUCGACUUUUUUCUUUAGACCCAGGUCAUUAGAAGAAAGGAUUAAAUACAAGAAAGUGCUGUGAAGAAAUAUAUAGCAAGCAAACUACUAAGAACACUGGGCUUAUCUCCACGACUAGUUAAACUGCAUGUACAAUGCAUACUAAAAAGAAAGGACCAUUGCCUCCACGAGAAAAAACUGCAUUACUCCACAUUAGCUGGAAUUGUCUGCCACCAGGAAUCAUCACCAUGUUGCUGCUAAAGAGAAAGUAGGCAGUAGGAUAUUGUCAGUAUGGUCUAUAGUAAUUGUUUCUGUCCAAUGUUCAACCAACAA